ACACACGUGCUACAAUGGUCGGUACAGAGGGUUGCCAAGCCGCGAGGUGGAGCUAAUCCCAGAAAACCGAUCGUAGUCCGGAUCGCAGUCUGCAACUCGACUGCGUGAAGUCGGAAUCGCUAGUAAUCGCGGAUCAGCAUGCCGCGGUGAAUACGUUCCCAGGCCUUGUACACACCGCCCGUCACACCAUGGGAGUUGGAUUCACUCGAAG
RNAcentral lists this ribosomal RNA (211 nucleotides) under Crypthecodinium cohnii. RNAcentral's name for it is "partial Bacterial small subunit ribosomal RNA". It matches the Rfam family "Bacterial small subunit ribosomal RNA", at positions 1216 to 1426 of the family's 1533-position model. The record is from RNAcentral. Lineage: Eukaryota; Dinophyceae; Gonyaulacales; Crypthecodiniaceae.